This 207-nucleotide ribosomal RNA is filed under the name uncultured bacterium. RNAcentral describes it as "partial 16S ribosomal RNA". It matches the Rfam family "Bacterial small subunit ribosomal RNA", at positions 568 to 774 of the family's 1533-position model. The record is from RNAcentral.
UGCGUAGGUGGUUUUUUAAGUCAGAUGUGAAAGCCCUGGGCUUAACCUAGGAAUUGCAUUUGAUACUGAAUAACUUGAGUAUGGUAGAGGGAAGUGGAAUUUCCAGUGUAGCGGUGAAAUGCGUAGAUAUUGGAAGGAACAUCAGUGGCGAAGGCGACUUCCUGGACCAUUACUGACACUGAGGCACGAAAGCGUGGGGAGCGAACA